Linepithema humile (Argentine ant) is the source of this 426-nucleotide long non-coding RNA. RefSeq lists it as uncharacterized. Lineage: Eukaryota; Metazoa; Arthropoda; Insecta; Hymenoptera; Formicidae. The record is from RefSeq and is a predicted model, not a curated record.
GUUGUGUUAUCGAGAAACCGGCAAGCGCCUCGCGCCUUGGUCUUCAAUUUCGUUCUGUUUUCUUGCGAUUCGAUACGCAGAUUGUCCUAUUCCAGUCCUGAUAAGUAUCAGAAAAUCAAGACGUCUAUUAUUUCAAUAUAGCGUGGCAAAUAAGUUUUCCGGUGAAAGGUACAGAGCGAAUAAAUCGAGAUUGAAAACAAUACCCAACGCCCUUCUCGGAGUACAACUAUCACCGAAAAUUCUAUCUAGCAUUAGAUUCUGUACGAGCAGUCCAGUCAGCUGCAGGAGAAGCGUACAAUGAAUCAUUUAAAAAAAGAUCUAGAAGAAGGUAUUAAAAAAUGGCUAAGAAGAGCGAAGGAAAGGUCCGAUGCGGAUAAAAAGAAACUCGCGAACACUCAAGAAGACAGUGAAUAAUAAGGAACACUA